RNAcentral lists this long non-coding RNA (958 nucleotides) under Olea europaea subsp. europaea. Lineage: Eukaryota; Viridiplantae; Streptophyta; Magnoliopsida; Lamiales; Oleaceae. The record is from RNAcentral.
AUAGGAAUUGCAUUACUAAUCAAGUUCUGAACAUCAAAGAAACUUUAGUAUAUAAUGUUUAACGGCGCAUCUAACCUUCAGAUUGAAGUGAUCAACGAUAUGAAUAAUUGACCCUCCACUGUCACAUGGACGGAUCACAUAUCACGAUGGAAGUAUCUCAGCUCAAAAAAACUAUGAAGUUGCUGAUGCACUUGGGCUAGUCGCAGUACCCGAAAGAUAUCUUUCACUGACUUUUAUGGAACAAGAAUGAAAAUGUUCAAAAAGAAAAAGAUGCAUGGCACUAUCCUCAAUAUAAAAACAUCAAGUUGACAAAGUUGUAACAACCCAUUUUAAUAGAAUCAUGACAUUUCUAACACAUAAUAGUUGAAUAGAUGCAAUAGCAGUUUACCUUGGUCAAGACAACCGUGAAGCAGCUUGCAAAUAAGGCUAUUUAUUCAUAUAUCUUUCUCUUUGUUUUGGAUCACUCUGUGUGCAAGUGCAACUUUCCCAGACAGGAAGGUUUAAUCAAUGAUGGAAAGGUUUUGUAGCGCUUAAGAAUGAGAAAAAAAUAGCUAUACAAGUUAUUCAAUGCUCAGUUCAUUCAAAUAUGGAGAUGAGUCUUUCAUUAGUUUAGUUCCAGAUAUGAAGAAAAUUAAACACAUGCAUCAUGAUUAUACCUCAGUCACUUGGUCAGAAGUUUAUAUUCAACUAUAGACAGGCAUAAUUUGACAUGGGACAAACAAGAUUUCCAUUUUCUAAUGUUGUUGUGUAUCUUAAAGUCCAAAAGUCACGAGCAGGAGCUAAUUUAGUUGGUGCAUCCGUCUGCAAAUAGCAUCUAAGGAUUUAUUUCUUCCACACAAGAACUUGAAUAAAGAAUAUUAUAGGACCAAGAUAUUUGAAAAAUUCACCUGUGUAUACAAAAGAUCAAUUGUUCCUCCACUUUCAGUAGGAAACUUUGUGAAAAAUUCAAGGCUUUGAC